CUCCAUCUUGGAUUAUAAAAAACAGAGAACCAAAGGUCAGGAUUUUCUAUCAAGUUUGCAAAAUUUGAUGCAGGAAUGCAGAUAUUUAAUGUGAAUUUUCAUUUAAAAGAAUCAAUUCAUAAGAAUAUAACUUAAAAAUAUUAAUAUUUUUGCAAAUGAUGAUUAAUUUUGGUUGUUUUAAAAAAAUAAUUGAAAUUGCAUUUUAAGGGGAGGUAACGUUAAAACAGUGCAUUUUCUGAAGGAUUCUACAUGGAAUUUUCCUAUUUUGUAUUUUAGCUGGAAAAAACGUACGGUGACCCUAUCUUU
RNAcentral lists this long non-coding RNA (306 nucleotides) under Mytilus galloprovincialis (Mediterranean mussel). The record is from RNAcentral. Lineage: Eukaryota; Metazoa; Mollusca; Bivalvia; Mytilida; Mytilidae.